This 84-nucleotide transfer RNA is filed under the name Jiella endophytica. Its description in RNAcentral is "Jiella sp. CBS5Q-3 tRNA-Leu". It matches the Rfam family "tRNA". Rfam says of the family: Transfer RNA (tRNA) molecules are approximately 80 nucleotides in length. Their secondary structure includes four short double-helical elements and three loops (D, anti-codon, and T loops). Lineage: Bacteria; Pseudomonadati; Pseudomonadota; Alphaproteobacteria; Hyphomicrobiales; Aurantimonadaceae. The record is from RNAcentral.
GCGGGCGUGGCGGAAUGGUAGACGCAAGGGACUUAAAAUCCCUGGGCUUUGGCCGUGCGGGUUCGAGUCCCGCCGCCCGUACCA